AAUAAACCUGAUGAGUUGUUGCUGGUUCUCCCAGAGGACAUUGUGCACGCUUGUCAUCUUUAUAUCUCCACCUGUGCACAUAUUGUAGACCUGGAUGACUUUCUGAAUGCUAGUUCUAGCAGUCAGGUUUGAGGAUUGACUUUUUUGUCUUUCCUUACAUUUCCAGGCCUAUGUUCUUUCAUAUAACCUCAGUGUAUGUUAUAGAAUGUAAUAAACGGGCCACUGUGCCUAUAAACUUAUACAACUUUCAGCAACGGAUCUCUUGGCUCUCGCAUCGAUGAAGAACGCAGCGAAAUGCGAUAAGUAAUGUGAAUUGCAGAAUUCAGUGAAUCAUCGAAUCUUUGAACGCACCUUGCGCUCCUUGGUAUUCCGAGGAGCAUGCCUGUUUGAGUGUCAUUAAUAUAUCAACCUCUCAAAGCUUUUUUUGCCUUCGAGAGUGUUUGGAUGUGGGGGGUUACUUUUUUGCUGGCCUUUCAAGGUCAGCUCCCCUGAAAUGUAUUAGCAGGACAAUUUGUUGACCGUUCAUUGGUGUGAUAACUAUCUACGCUAUUGACGUGAAGCAGUUCAGCUUAUAGCAGUCCAUUGACUUGGACAAUUUUCUAUUAUUAAUGUGACCUCAAAUCAGGUAGGUAUAGCCGUGCAAUUUAA
RNAcentral lists this ribosomal RNA (648 nucleotides) under Thaxterogaster piriformis. RNAcentral's name for it is "eukaryotic LSU rRNA". The stretch from base 243 to 396 matches the Rfam family "5.8S ribosomal RNA". Lineage: Eukaryota; Fungi; Basidiomycota; Agaricomycetes; Agaricales; Cortinariaceae. The record is from RNAcentral.